Small nuclear RNA from Protopterus annectens (West African lungfish), 104 nucleotides. Lineage: Eukaryota; Metazoa; Chordata; Ceratodontiformes; Protopteridae. The record is from RefSeq and is a predicted model, not a curated record.
AGAUGGUUAAACAAAUAAAAGGCACUCUUGCAACAAUAUAGAGAUGGUUAACAUGUACCCUGUGCAAGAAUGACAAUGAAUUUCAUGAAGCAUUCCAUAUUUGU